This 1683-nucleotide ribosomal RNA is filed under the name Pinus taeda (loblolly pine). RNAcentral describes it as "SSU rRNA". The stretch from base 2 to 1082 matches the Rfam family "Eukaryotic small subunit ribosomal RNA", at positions 4 to 1116 of the family's 1831-position model. The record is from RNAcentral. Lineage: Eukaryota; Viridiplantae; Streptophyta; Pinopsida; Pinales; Pinaceae.
CCUGGUUGAUCCUGCCAGUAGUCAUAUGCUUGUCUCAAAGAUUAAGCCAUGCAUGUCUAAGUAUGAACUAAUUCAAACUGUGAAACUGCGGAUGGCUCAUUAAAUCAGUUAUAGUUUUUUUGAUGGUACCAUAAUACUCAGAUAACCAUAUUAAUUAUAGAGCUAAUACGUGCACCAAGUCCCGACUCUUUGGAAGGGAUGCAUUUUUUAGAUAAAAGGCCGGCGCGGGCUUGCCCGCUUCUCUGGUGAAUCAUGAUAACUCGACGGAUCGCACAACCCUUGUGUUGGUGAUGCUUCAUUCAAAUUUAUGCCCUAUCAACUUUUGAUGGUAGGAUAGAAGCCUACCAUGGUGGUUCCAGGUGACGGAGAAUUAGGGUUCGAUUCCGGAGAGGGAGCCUGAGAAACGGCUACCACAUCCAAGGAAGGUAGCAGGCGCGCAAAUUACCCAAUCCUGACAUGGGGAGGUAGUGAUAAUAAAUAACAAUACUGGGCUCAUCGAGUCUGGUAAUUGGAAUGAGUACAAUCUAAAAACGAGGAUCCAUUGGAGCGCAAGUCUGGUGCCAGCAGCCGCGGUAAUUCCAGCUCCAAUAGCGUAUAUUUAAGUUGUUGCAGUUAAAAAGCUCGUAGUUGGAUCUUGGGUCGUAAAGGUUGGUCUGCCUACUCUGUGUGCACCUGCCCUUCCGUCCCUUUUGUCGAUGGCGUGCUCCUGGCCUUAAUUGGCUGGGUCGCGGCUCCGACGUUGUUACUUUGAAAAAAUUAGAGUGCUCAAAGCAAGCUUAUGCUUUGAAUACAUUAGCAUGGAAUAACGUGAUAGGAGUCUGGUCCUAUUGUGUUGGCCUUCGGACCCGGAGUAAUGAUUAUUAGGGACUUUCGGGGGCAUUCGUAUUUCAUUGCCAGAGGUGAAAUUCUUGGAUUUAUGAAAGACAGACCACUGCGAAAGCAUUUUCCAAAGAUGUUUUCAUUAAUCAAGAACGAAAGGACUUUGAAAAGAGAGUUAAAGAGUGCUUGAAAUUGCCGAGAGGGAAGCGGAUGGAGGCUGUCGAUGCGUCUCAGUCGGAUGUGGAACAGCUCAGGCUAAUCUGCCACUCGACUUGAGGUGCAAAUCAACACGGGCUACUGCAUCGUCACAAGCGCGGUUGGAUUGCCGCCUGUCUGUUUGCCACUGCGGUGGUCGAGGAACGAAGCGUGCACCCUUCUGGCGGGCCGUGUGCACCUACGCGCUCGUGGUGUUGGUUGGUGGGCUUUCCAUUCGACCCGUCUUGAAACACGGACCAAGGAGUCUAACAUGUGUGCGAGUCGGCGGGUUUGAAAACCUGCGAGGCGCAAGGAAGCUGACGGGCGAGAUCCCCUCUCUUGGGGGGGUGCAUCGUCGACCGACCUUGAGCUUAUGCGAAGGGUUCGAGUGCGAGCACACCUGUUGGGACCCGAAAGAUGGUGAACUAUGCCUGAGCAGGGCAAAGCCAGAGGAAACUCUGGUGGAGGCUCGUAGCGAUACUGACGUGCAAAUCGUUCGUCUGACGCGCGCGUUUUAUCGGGUAAAGCAAAUGAUUAGAGGCAUCGGGGGCGUAACGCCCUCGACCUAUUCUCAAACUUUAAAUAGAUAAGAGGGUGUGGCUACUCCAUUGAGCCGCGCCAUGGAAUCGAGAGCUCCAAGUGGGCCAUUUUUGGUAAGCAGAACUAGCG